Long non-coding RNA from Dreissena polymorpha, 5033 nucleotides. RefSeq lists it as uncharacterized. NCBI's taxonomy places the organism in Eukaryota, Metazoa, Mollusca, Bivalvia, Myida, Dreissenidae. The record is from RefSeq and is a predicted model, not a curated record. The transcript is spliced from 4 exons.
AUUAAGUCCUUUAAAUUGUAAUUCCAGAUUAGCCUGUGCACACUGAACAUACAUUAACUCCUAUUAAAUUGUCAUUCCAGAUUAGCCUGUGCAGACUGCACAUACAUUAAAUCCUAUUAAAGUGUCAUUCCAGAUUAGCAUGUGCAGACUGCACAUACAUUAAGUCCUAUUAAAGUGUCAUCCCAGAUUAGCCUGUGCAGACUGCACAUACAUUAAGUCCUAUUAAAGUGUCAUCCCAGAUUAGCCUGUGCAGACUGCACAUACAUUAAGCCCUAUUUUUCCAGAAUGAGGCUCAUAUAGUUUACUUAACAUCAGUCCUUUUAUGUGCCUGAUUAAGAAAAAGGUCCAAGCAUCAAAUGGUAAGUAGGUGUUUUUAAUAUUAAUCAACUUAAUAAAUAAAUAGCAAAUAGCAAUUGAUCAGGUUUAAUCAUGAAAGGUCAAGGCAUAGUUUUGUCUACGUUUCGGCCGAAAUUCAGCCCUUGAACGAAGCAUUUAUCCUUGCAUAUAAAAUCCGCUGUAAUAGACUUGUUAAAUUUUAUUUAUGCCCCCCUUCGAAGAAGAGGGGGUAUAUUGCUUUGCUCAUGUCGGUCUGUCGGUCGGUCUGUCGGACGGUCUGUCGGUCCGUCCACCAGGUGGUUGUCAGACAAUAACUCAAGAACGCUUGGGCCUAGGAUCAUGAAACUUCAUAGGUACAUUGAUCAUGACUCGCAAAUGACCCCUAUUGAUUUUGAGGUCACUAGGUCAAAGGUCAAGGUCACGGUGACCCGAAAUAGUAAAAUGGUUUCCGGAUGAUAACUCAAGAAUGCAUACGCCUAGGAUCAUGAAACUUCAUAGGUAGAUUGAUCAUAACUCGCAGAUGACCCCUAUUGAUUUUGAGGUCACUAGGUCAAAGGUCAAAGUCACAGUGACCCGAAAUAGUAAAAUGGUUUUCGGAUGAUAACUCGAGAACGCAUAUGCCUAGGAUCAUGAAACUUCAUAGGUAGAUUGAUCAUGACUUGCAGAUGACCCCUAUUGAUUUUGAGGUCACAAGGUCAAAGGUCAAGGUCACGGUGACCCGAAAUAGUAAAAUGAUUUUCUUAUGAUAACUCAAGAACGCUUUUGCCUAGGAUCAUGACACUUCAUAGGUACAUUGAUCGUGAUUCGCAGAUGACCCCUAUUGAUUUUCAGGUCACUAGGUCAAAGGUCAAGGUCACAGUGACAAAAAUCGUAUUCACACAAUGGCUGCCACUACAACGGACAGCCCAUAUAGGGGGCAUGCAUGUUUUACAAACAGCCCUUGUUUAAUUUUAGCAAAACAUUUAUUUAAAUGACUUCAUCACAUUAUACAAUUAUUCCCUUCAAUAUUUAUUUAAGUUCCUGAAUUUUGUUUUAAGAGCCGGUUCCUACAGGAUCCCAUGCAGUCAUAGAUCGGUACCCAGCUGAACAACAAUUUGUCUGGUAAGCUGGGCCCGGAUAGGUGCAGCCAGUCUAAAGCUGGGGCUCCAAACUUUCCUGCCAAGUGGGUUAAUAUUACCUCUUCUACAAGAAUGAAUUAAUUAUUUGGUUUACAUGGACAUAUGUCAGUGAUGCGCAAAGAGCUGGUUUUCUGUUCACAGAGAAAUAUCCUAACAACUCCAACUCAGCCACUACAUCUCAAUAGACAACCCGAAUAUCAAGGCGUUAAGUUUCUUCUGGAUGCAGUUACACUCACAGCUUUCAAGCCAGCAGCUGUUGAUUUAUUGAGAUUUUCUCUUCUCUAUGUUACCUGACCUGCUGCCUGUGAACAUCCUGCGCAUAGAACCUUUAUCUCAUUCGAUGUAAUUAAACCGGCCAAUCAAAAAGACAGCCUGUUACAGCACUUGUCAUUAGAUUGACGCCAUGCAUGCCUUUGAAGAUCAUUUAUACAUACAAUUUAAGCAUGAUAGUCAAUAAGUGCCUGCGUUGGCUUCUUAAACGACUCGCAGUCCUGAGCAUUUACGAUGGAAUUCUUCAUCUUGAAAUAUUGGGAAGGCAGGAAAACGCCUGUCACUGUUAAGACAAAAAUGAGGGAAUGACAAAGAACAAUAAGACCAGCCAAGUCCUGUGACCAGCCAAGUCCUGUGAUCAGUCAAGUCCUGUGAUCAGCCAAGUCCUGUGACCAGCCAAGUCCUGUGACCAGCCAAGUCCUGUGACCAGCCAAGUCCUGUGACCAGUCAAGUCCUGUGAUCAGCCAAGUCAUGUGAUAAGCCAAGUUUUAGGAUCAGCUUUGUUCUGUGGCCAGCCAAUUCAUGCGACACGCCAAGUGUUUUUACCAGCCAUGUCCUAUGACCAGCAGCUUUGUCUCGUGUGUACAGUCUGAUUGUAUGGGAAGAAAAAUCUACAUUUCAUAUUGUAUGGGUAUAAUGAUACUGACAGUAUCUUGAUGAUUAAGUAUUUUGUUAUAUAUUGGUGAAACUUAGUAAUAGCAGUAAUGUAAAGUAUUAUUUCAAGAGCAAACUAAUGCAAGUACUACUAUUUUGUCUGUAUUCAGAAACUGACUCUAUAUAGCUUUAUCCUGAUUAUCGUAAACAGACAGACAAAAUGAUUGUACAAUUGUUUUUUUUAAACAUUGAUUUUAAGCCUUCACAAAGUUGUUUAAAUAAUGCUGAUACCUUGGACAAUAUUUAACUAAUUUAUUGUAUAAACAUGCUUAUUUUUAGUUUUUACCUAUAAAAUAGCAAUAUGUGCUAGGUAAAAUAAUUGAUCAGAACGGUUCAUAAUUGUGAUGCUUCUAUUUUGAUAUGUCUGUCAUUCUGUUCGUGUACAUUUAUCAUCAGUUUGCUCUUUUUAGGCAGUAUUUUAUCAAGAAUUUCAUGUAGUGAUGUAAUAGUAAAAUAUCAAAUAAUAAUUUGAUUUAUUCAAACUAUAUUAACCUUCUGUUAAUUAUCAAUUUAUUUAUUGACAACAGAUACUUUGUUUAAUAUAAACAAUAGUUAAGCGCGUUAUAAAAAUUGUGUGAAUGUACAUGCAUAAUAUUGCUAUAAUUAAUGCACACAUUAAUGGAAAAACCAUUUAAAUAAAGUAAAAUUUAGAAGUGCAUCUUAAUUGUAUUGGAUUUUGUUUAUUUAUUAAAAAAGUAUGCUUUCAUUGUUGAAAAUAUGAUAGUAAUUCCUCCACAAGUAAUUUUGUUUCGAAGUGAGUAUUUUCGUGAAUAAUGAUCCUAGAUAUGGUUGUAGAUUGUUCUUGUUGUAUCAUAUUCUGACAGGCUCAUCAUUUAUGUUGACAUUUGCAUUCUAGCAUUAGAAGUUCAUUAUGCUUUAAAUAUUUGUAUGUACACAUUUGCGACCAGCUUUUCUAAUGUAAUAAGCGAAUAAUGUAACACAGACUUAUGUGUCACUGUAUACAUGUAUAUGUUUAUUUUGUCAUUUGUAAAUAGAUCAACUGCAAAGCUAAUGUUUUUGUUUGUACAUUAUUCAUAGAAUGUUGCCAUUUCAAACAGAUACAUUCACUGUUUGAAUUCAUUUGUACAAAAUUGUUUCAUAUUAAACAUCAUUUACAUAUCAGGCAAUAGAGAAAAAGAAUUGCUUUGGAUGAAUGAGCACAUUAACCUGUAUAGUAAAUUAAGACAUGCAGAAUAUCAGAUCAUUAACAUAAUAAUAUACUUUAAGCAUUAGAAACACCUUGUUUUAUGUCAAGCUUUUCAGUGAAUAUAAUUAAGCAACUAUUAUCUGGAAAUUUGGAAAACAGUGAAGAACGAUUCAAGGGAGAGCAACUGUGAUAUACUAAAUAAAAGUCGUCUCCCUUGUUAGAGUAUAAUUGUACCUCUCAACGUAACAAGAACAUUGAAUCUUUUUUUAUAUUAUUCCACACUAUAAACUAUAUAGUAUAUUCAUUCAAUAAUCACUAAAGAAAUAUGGUUUGCAUAAUUGUUUAUUUCUAUGCGUUAUACCAAAUUCACCAGUAUGGCAUCAAUUUAAGUUCAUCAUAUUUUUAUUGCCAAAAUUGGCCAUACAGUGCUAAAAAUUUGGUAUUCUGACUAUUAUUAGUGCAUGUUCUCAUACAAUAUCACAUUGUAUAUUAUAACACCGAAGCAAUUCUGACUAUUAUUAGUGCAUGUUCUCAUACAAUAUCACAUUGUAUAUUUUAACACUGAAGCAAUAUGUGUUAAUAUAUUAAUUUUUUUUUAUUGACUUGUUGUUGCUUGUUAAGGUGUCUAAUUUUGAAUUAUAGCUGUAAAUUGAUUGUGACUAUUUUCCAGUUUUGAAUGAUUGCUUUUAGUUGAUUGUUUACAAGUUUUGUAAAAGCUGUUUUCAUGUUGACUGCUCCACAUUAAAUGUCGUUGACGCACAUUCACUGCGGCCAGGUUCCGUAAAACUCCCAUCUCAUCUGAUGUCUUAUGACUGGAUUCCAUACAUAGUGGUUGUUUAUACUCAGCUUGCUUUGCAUUAAACAUGUCUGCUUUGUUGUUGAACAAUUAUACACAGCUUUUUAUUAGACAAAAUUGUGUAAUAUUUCAAAUUUUUGAUAUCAAUUUUUUAUUUCGAACAAAAAUAUAUUUUGUUUAUUUGUAUGUAUAUUUAGCUAGAAUAAAAUUGUUUCUAUAAUAUAUAAACAACAUAUUUAUAAGCAAUAAACUAUAUUGGUAAAAGUAGAUUUAAGGUUCAAAAUCAUGUCUUAAUUUGUUUGAUUAUCCCAAAUUAACAUUUUGCAAAAGCAAAACUUGUUGAAUAAAGAAAACUUAAUGCAACGUACCACCAGGUCUUUUAACCAUUGAUUGUGUAUCACUAACGAUCAGGACUUUAUCAGGGAUUAAUAAUUGCCUUUGCAUGGCUAUAAUGUUUGUGUUAUUGAAUUGAAUAAUUUCUGUAGUUUGGUGCACAUUAAUUGUUGUUUUUUUAAAGACAUACCACAUGUCAUUUAAUAUAGUAUCAUUGUAGUUUUGGUAUGUUUAGGGAUAUAAUCAUGUUAAUGUAUGUGAUUUGCUGAUCCAUUUCUUGUUGUUUCACUCCAUUUAAUGUAUAUAGCCAUGCAUAGAGCAGGAAUCUUGUUGUACUGUGAAACAAAUGUUGUUAUAGUAAAUAAAAAAUGUAUGUUAA